Molecule: long non-coding RNA, 215 nt
Filed under: Elaeis guineensis (African oil palm)
Lineage: Eukaryota; Viridiplantae; Streptophyta; Magnoliopsida; Arecales; Arecaceae
Description: long non-coding RNA (EGUI_LNC057565)
Source: RNAcentral
GAGGGGCUCAGAGUUUCAAUGAGAGGAGUCCUAUCCCAACUAGAUGCCAUUAGGACUCAGCUUCAGUCCAGACCCUCUAUAUCCAGUGAGCUCACUUUUGUUCAGCCUAUCGCCUUUUGUCCUCCGACAUCUUCUACUCGAACUAGACCAUCUAGUCGAGGCUGAAGCUGAUUCUAUUUUAGUUGUUUUGAUCUUGAGCUCGAUGCCCAUGCUCC